UACAGAGGGGGCAAGCGUUGUUCGGAAUUACUGGGCGUAAAGGGCGCGUAGGCGGCCGGCUAAGUCGAACGUGAAAUCCCCGGGCUCAACCCGGGAACUGCGUCCGAUACUGGCAGGCUUGAAUCCGGGAGAGGGAUGCGGAAUUCCAGGUGUAGCGGUGAAAUGCGUAGAUAUCUGGAGGAACACCGGUGGCGAAGGCGGCAUCCUGGACCGGUAUUGACGCUGAGGCGCGAAAGCCAGGGGAGCAAACGGG
RNAcentral lists this ribosomal RNA (253 nucleotides) under uncultured bacterium. RNAcentral's name for it is "partial 16S ribosomal RNA". It matches the Rfam family "Bacterial small subunit ribosomal RNA", at positions 524 to 776 of the family's 1533-position model. The record is from RNAcentral.